GUUGUUGUGGGUUAGUUGAUUAAACUACCUGGCUAAUAAACAGGAGAUCCUUGGUUCAAAUCCCAACAGUGCCU
This is a non-coding RNA of Albula goreensis, 74 nucleotides long. Lineage: Eukaryota; Metazoa; Chordata; Actinopteri; Albuliformes; Albulidae. The record is from the annotation of a GenBank genome assembly.